Molecule: ribosomal RNA, 468 nt
Filed under: uncultured bacterium
Lineage: Bacteria
Description: partial 16S ribosomal RNA
Rfam family: Bacterial small subunit ribosomal RNA
Source: RNAcentral
GACGAACGCUGGCGGCGUGCUUAACACAUGCAAGUCGAACGGAAAGGCCCUGCUUUUGUGGGGUGCUCGAGUGGCGAACGGGUGAGUAACACGUGAGUAACCUGCCCUUGACUUUGGGAUAACUUCAGGAAACUGGGGCUAAUACCGGAUAGGAGCUCCUGCUGCAUGGUGGGGGUUGGAAAGUUUCGGCGGUUGGGGAUGGACUCGCGGCUUAUCAGCUUGUUGGUGGGGUAGUGGCUUACCAAGGCUUUGACGGGUAGCCGGCCUGGGAGGGUGACCGGCCACAUUGGGCCUGCGAUACGGCCCAGACUCCUACGGGAGGCAUCAGUGGGGAAUAUUGCACAAUGGGCGGAAGCCUGAUGCAGCAACGCCGCGUGCGGGAUGACGGCCUUCGGGUUGUAAACCGCUUUCGCCUGUGACGAAGCGUGAGUGACGGUAAUGGGUAAAGAAGCACCGGCUAACUACGUG